CAUGUUUUCAUUCCACAAGGUUCUUUUCGAACAUAAACACGCAUCUGUAUGCGCAUCAAGAUGAGCGGCGACCACCAGUUUUUCCCUUCUCUGCACGACAAUUCUGCCAACACAUCUGAUAUUUGGUCUACUUUGAUUAGGCCUAUAAACACGCCUAAAUCUUCUGCGCCGCAGUUUGAACCUACACCCUGGCCAAAAACAAACAGGCUGGCAGAGGCCUUUUACCAACCCCUGGAUGCCUUCUGUCCGCCGGAGGGCCCUUGUUGGUUGAGGCCGAGCGACGAGGACGUCAUCAGCGAAUUGGGCAUCCGUCUGGCCGAGAUCGAAUUAUUAAAUAUAAUGGGAGAAAAAGUCGAUAACGGAAAGCACACUCUGGUGUCUGAAAUGGAUAUGCAUCAACGAAGAAUAGAAAUGAGAAGAUUACAUCGGCCACCACCACAACCUCCAACUUGAGUAUUGUACAUAAAAUGUAUAUUUCUA
Long non-coding RNA from Engraulis encrasicolus (European anchovy), 480 nucleotides. RefSeq lists it as uncharacterized. The record is from RefSeq and is a predicted model, not a curated record. The transcript is spliced from 2 exons. Lineage: Eukaryota; Metazoa; Chordata; Actinopteri; Clupeiformes; Engraulidae.